AGUCAAGUAAUUAAGUGCAUGUGGUGGAUGCCUUGGCAGUCAGAGGCGAUGAAAGACGUGAUAGCCUGCGAAAAGCUCCGGGGAGGCGGCAAAUAUCCUUUGAUCCGGAGAUGUCUGAAUGGGGGAACCCACCUACUUUAAGGUAGGUAUUGCAACAUGAAUACAUAGUGUUGCAAGGCGAACGAGGGGAAGUGAAACAUCUCAGUACCCUUAGGAAAAGAAAUCAAUUGAGAUUCCCUCAGUAGCGGCGAGCGAACGGGGAUCAGCCCAUUAAGUUAUGUGUGUUUUAGUGGAACGCUCUGGGAAGUGCGAACGUAGAGGGUGAUAUUCCCGUACACGAAAGGGCACACAUAAUGAUGACGAGUAGGGCGAGGCACGUGAAACCUUGUCUGAAUAUGGGGGGACCAUCCUCCAAGGCUAAAUACUCCUGACUGACCGAUAGUGAACCAGUACCGUGAGGGAAAGGCGAAAAGAACCCCUGUGAGGGGAGUGAAAUAGAUCCUGAAACCGCAUGCAUACAAGCAGUGGGAGCACCUUCGUGGUGUGACUGCGUACCUUUUGUAUAAUGGGUCAGCGACUUAUAUUCAGUAGCAGGUUAACCGUAUAGGGGAGCCGUAGAGAAAUCGAGUCUUAAUAGGGCGUUUAGUUGCUGGGUAUAGACCCGAAACCAGGCGAUCUAUCCAUGAGCAGGUUGAAGGUUGGGUAACACUAACUGGAGGACCGAACCCACUGUCGUUGAAAAGCCAGGGGAUGACUUGUGGAUAGGGGUGAAAGGCUAAUCAAGCCUGGUGAUAGCUGGUUCUCCCCGAAAGCUAUUUAGGUAGCGCCUCGGACGAAUACCAUAGGGGGUAGAGCACUGUUUCGGCUAGGGGGUCAUCCCGACUUACCAAACCGAUGCAAACUCCGAAUACCUAUGAGUACUAUCCGGGAGACAGACUGCGGGUGCUAACGUCCGUAGUCAAGAGGAAAACAAUCCAGACCGCCAGCUAAGGCCCCAAAAUCAUAGUUAAGUGGGAAACGAUGUGGGAAGGCAUAGACAGCUAGGAGGUUGGCUUAGAAGCAGCCACCCUUUAAAGAAAGCGUAAUAGCUCACUAGUCGAGUCGGCCUGCGCGGAAGAUGUAACGGGGCUAAAACUAUGUGCCGAAGCUGCGGAUGUAUACUUUGUAUACGUGGUAGGGGAGCGUUCUGUAAGCCGAUGAAGGUGUGUUGAGAAGCAUGCUGGAGGUAUCAGAAGUGCGAAUGCUGACGUGAGUAACGACAAAACGGGUGAAAAACCCGUUCGCCGAAAGACCAAGGGUUCCAGUCCAACGUUAAUCGGGGCUGGGUGAGUCGACCCCUAAGGCGAGGCCGAAAGGCGUAGUCGAUGGGAAAAUGGUUAAUAUUCCAUUACUUCUGUGUAAUGCGAUGAGAGGACGGAGAAGGCUAAAUCAGCCUGGCGUUGGUUGUCCAGGUGAAAGGAUGUAGGCAUGUAUCUUAGGCAAAUCCGGGGUACUCUAUGCUGAGAUCUGAUAGCAAGCUGUACUUGUACAGCGAAGUGGUUGAUGCCAUGCUUCCAGGAAAAGUCUCUAAGCUUCAGUUACACAGGAAUCGUACCCGAAACCGACACAGGUGGUCAGGUCGAGUAGACCAAGGCGCUUGAGAGAACUCUGCUGAAGGAACUAGGCAAAAUGGUACCGUAACUUCGGGAGAAGGUACGCUGUUGUUGGUGAUGGAACUCGCUUCCUGAGCUGACGACAGCCGCAGAAACCAGGCCGCUGCAACUGUUUAUUAAAAACAUAGCACUCUGCAAACACGAAAGUGGACGUAUAGGGUGUGAUGCCUGCCCGGUGCUGGAAGGUUAAUUGAUGGGGUUAGCGUAAGCGAAGCUCUUGAUCGAAGCCCCAGUAAACGGCGGCCGUAACUAUAACGGUCCUAAGGUAGCGAAAUUCCUUGUCGGGUAAGUUCCGACCUGCACGAAUGGCAUAAUGAUGGCGGCGCUGUCUCCAGCAGAGGCUCAGUGAAAUCGAAAUCGCUGUGAAGAUGCAGUGUACCCGCGGCUAGACGGAAAGACCCCGUGAACCUUUACUGCAGCUUGACACUGAACUUUGACCUUACUUGUGUAGGAUAGGUGGGAGGCUUUGAAGCUGGAACGCUAGUUCCAGUGGAGCCGUCCUUGAAAUACCACCCUGGUAAUGUUGAGGUUCUAACUCUGUCCCGUGAUCCGGGACGAGGACCGUGUCUGGUGGGUAGUUUGACUGGGGCGGUCUCCUCCUAAAGAGUAACGGAGGAGUACGAAGGUGCGCUCAGCGUGGUCGGAAAUCACGCGUAGAGUAUAAAGGCAAAAGCGCGCUUAACUGCGAGACCCACAAGUCGAGCAGGUACGAAAGUAGGUCUUAGUGAUCCGGUGGUUCUGUAUGGAAGGGCCAUCGCUCAACGGAUAAAAGGUACUCUGGGGAUAACAGGCUGAUACCGCCCAAGAGUUCAUAUCGACGGCGGUGUUUGGCACCUCGAUGUCGGCUCAUCUCAUCCUGGGGCUGAAGCAGGUCCCAAGGGUAUGGCUGUUCGCCAUUUAAAGAGGUACGCGAGCUGGGUUUAGAACGUCGUGAGACAGUUCGGUCCCUAUCUACCGUGGGCGCUGGAAAUUUGAGAGGAUCUGCUCCUAGUACGAGAGGACCAGAGUGGACGAACCUCUGGUGUACCGGUUGUGACGCCAGUCGCAUCGCCGGGUAGCUAUGUUCGGAAGGGAUAACCGCUGAAAGCAUCUAAGCGGGAAGCCUACCUCAAGAUAAGAUUUCCCUAGGACUUUAUGUCCUCUAAAGAGCCGUUCGAGACUAGGACGUUGAUAGGUUGGAUGUGGAAGCAUAGUGAUAUGUGAAGCUGACCAAUACUAAUUGCUCGUGAGGCUUGACUAU
This 2892-nucleotide ribosomal RNA is filed under the name Acinetobacter baumannii. Its description in RNAcentral is "23S ribosomal RNA". It matches the Rfam family "Bacterial large subunit ribosomal RNA". Lineage: Bacteria; Pseudomonadati; Pseudomonadota; Gammaproteobacteria; Moraxellales; Moraxellaceae. The record is from RNAcentral.